RNAcentral lists this ribosomal RNA (492 nucleotides) under uncultured bacterium. Its description in RNAcentral is "partial 16S ribosomal RNA". It matches the Rfam family "Bacterial small subunit ribosomal RNA", at positions 29 to 507 of the family's 1533-position model. The record is from RNAcentral.
AGUGAACGCUGGCGGUAGGCCUAACACAUGCAAGUCGAACGGCAGCACAGUAAGAGCUUGCUCUUACGGGUGGCGAGUGGCGGACGGGUGAGGAAUACAUCGGAAUCUACUUUUUCGUGGGGGAUAACGUAGGGAAACUUACGCUAAUACCGCAUACGACCUACGGGUGAAAGCAGGGGAUCUUCGGACCUUGCGCGAUUGAAUGAGCCGAUGUCGGAUUAGCUAGUUGGCGGGGUAAAGGCCCACCAAGGCGACGAUCCGUAGCUGGUCUGAGAGGAUGAUCAGCCACAUGGGAAGUGAGACACGGUCCAGACUCCUACGGGAGGCAGCAGUGGGGAAUAUUAGACAAUGGGCGCAAGCCUGAUCCAGCCAUACCGCGUGGGUGAAGAAGGCCUUCGGGUUGUAAAGCCCUUUUGUUGGGAAAGAAAAGCAGCAGGUUAAUACCCCGCUGUUCUGACGGUACCCAAAGAAUAAGCACCGGCUAACUUCGUG